Molecule: unclassified non-coding RNA, 245 nt
Filed under: Glomeraceae sp.
Lineage: Eukaryota; Fungi; Glomeromycota; Glomeromycetes; Glomerales; Glomeraceae
Description: partial contains 5.8S ribosomal RNA and internal transcribed spacer 2
Rfam family: 5.8S ribosomal RNA (bases 1-71)
Source: RNAcentral
GUGAAUCAUCGAAUUUUUGAACGCAAAUUGCGCUUCCUGGCAUCCCGGGAAGUAUGCCUGUUUGAGGGUCAGUAUUAAUAAAAAUUCGUUUUAUUUACAAAUUGUGACGUUUCCGGUGUUUGGGCUAUCUUAACAUUUUUGGUAAAGAGUCUUAAAAUUGACCUUUUUUACGCAUUUUUAAAGUAACAUAAUUUUUUUUUAUUCUCUUAUUCUUAAUGCCAAAAUCUUAUUAGAUGCUACCAAUU